RNAcentral lists this ribosomal RNA (460 nucleotides) under uncultured bacterium. Its description in RNAcentral is "partial 16S ribosomal RNA". It matches the Rfam family "Bacterial small subunit ribosomal RNA", at positions 338 to 795 of the family's 1533-position model. The record is from RNAcentral.
CCUACGGGGAGCAGCAGUGAGGAAUAUUGGUCAAUGGACGAGAGUCUGAACCAGCCAAGUAGCGUGAAGGAUGACUGCCCUAUGGGUUGUAAACUUCUUUUAUAAAGGAAUAAAACGAGGCACGUGUGCCUUUUUGCAUGUACUUUAUGAAUAAGGAUCGGCUAACUCCGGGCCAGCAGCCGCGGUAAUACGGAGGAUCCGAGCGUUAUCCGGAUUUAUUGGGUUUAAAGGGAGCGUAGAUGGGUUGUUAAGUCAGUUGUGAAAGUUUGCGGCUCAACCGUAAAAUUGCAAUUGAUACUGGCAGUCGUGAGUACAGUUGAGGUAGGCGGAAUUCGUGGUGUAGCGGUGAAAUGCUUGGAUAUCACGAAGAACCCCGAUUGCGAAGGCAGCUUACUAAACUGUGACUGACAUUGAUGCUCGAAAGUGUGGGUAUCAAACAGGAUUAGAUACCCCAGUAGUC